GCGCGCGUAGCUCAGUCGGUUAGAGCGUACGCUUCACACGCGUAAGGUCUCUGGUUCGAUCCCAGACGCGCGCA
This 74-nucleotide transfer RNA is filed under the name Candidatus Kaiserbacteria bacterium RIFCSPHIGHO2_01_FULL_51_33. RNAcentral's name for it is "tRNA-Val". It matches the Rfam family "tRNA". Rfam says of the family: Transfer RNA (tRNA) molecules are approximately 80 nucleotides in length. Their secondary structure includes four short double-helical elements and three loops (D, anti-codon, and T loops). Lineage: Bacteria; Candidatus Kaiseribacteriota. The record is from RNAcentral. RNAcentral also lists the same sequence under 1 other name.